Molecule: ribosomal RNA, 492 nt
Filed under: uncultured bacterium
Lineage: Bacteria
Description: partial 16S ribosomal RNA
Rfam family: Bacterial small subunit ribosomal RNA
Source: RNAcentral
AGUGAACGCUGGCGGUAGGCCUAACACAUGCAAGUCGAACGGCAGCACAGUAAGAGCUUGCUCUUACGGGUGGCGAGUGGCGGACGGGUGAGGAAUACAUCGGACUCUACUUUUUCGUGGGGGAUAACGUAGGGAAACUUACGCUAAUACCGCAUACGACCUACGGGUGAAAGCAGGGGAUCUUCGGACCUUGCGCGAUUGAAUGAGCCGAUGUCGGAUUAGCUAGUUGGCGGGGUAAAGGCCCACCAGGGCGACGAUCCGUAGCUGGUCUGAGAGGAUGAUCGGCCACACUGGAACUUGGACACGGUCCAGACUCCUACGAGAGGCAGCAGUGGGGAAUAUUGGACAAUGGGGGCAAGCCUGAUCCAGCCAUACCGCGUGGGUGAAGGAGGCCUUCGGGUUGUGAAGCCCGUUUGUUGGGAAAGAAAAGCAGCAGGUUAAGACCCCGCUGUUCUGACGGUACCCAAAGAAUAAGCACCGGCUAACUUCGUG